UGUUCCCUGGCGUGUUUGCCAGCCAGGCUAUGUCCCUGAGCCGAUGCUUUAAUCCCCGGGGGCGAAUAUGAUGGCGCCGUGUGCAUGUCCGCUGCGGCGGAAAGCCUGAAGCGCCAUUUGCCGCCUCCACCUUGAACCCUUGGGUUCAAGGACCAGGCCGGCAGCGGCACGAUCGGGGAACAC
RNAcentral lists this non-coding RNA (183 nucleotides) under Gammaproteobacteria bacterium HGW-Gammaproteobacteria-14. RNAcentral's name for it is "6S RNA". It matches the Rfam family "6S / SsrS RNA". From Rfam's summary of the family: E. coli 6S RNA was the first non coding RNA to be sequenced, but its function was unknown until recently. It consists of 184 nucleotides that fold into an extended hairpin structure with a large single-stranded internal bulge. The record is from RNAcentral. Lineage: Bacteria; Pseudomonadati; Pseudomonadota; Gammaproteobacteria.